UACGUAGGGUGCGAGCGUUAAUCGGAAUUACUGGGCGUAAAGCGUGCGCAGGCGGUUCGUCGUGUCCGAUGUGAAAGCCCCGGGCUCAACCUGGGAAUUGCAUUCGAGACUGCAUUGCUGGAGUACGGAAGAGGAAGGCGGAAUUCCUGGUGUAGCGGUGAAAUGCGCAGAUAUCAGGAGGAACACCGGUGGCGAAGGCGGUUCUCUGGGCCUUACCUGACGCUGAGGAGCGAAAGCGUGGGGAGCAAACAGG
RNAcentral lists this ribosomal RNA (253 nucleotides) under uncultured bacterium. RNAcentral describes it as "partial 16S ribosomal RNA". It matches the Rfam family "Bacterial small subunit ribosomal RNA", at positions 524 to 776 of the family's 1533-position model. The record is from RNAcentral.